AAUAUUGGACAAUGGGGGCAACCCUGAUCCAGCCAUGCCGCGUGUGUUAAGAAGGUCUUCGGAUUGUAAAGCACUUUAAGUUGGGAGGAAGGGCUUUAGGUUAAUACCCUGAAGUUUUGACGUUACCAACAGAAUAAGUACCGGAUAACUCGGUGCCAGCAGCCGCGGUAAUACAGAGGGUGCAAGCGUUAAUCGGAAUUACUGGGCGUAAAGCGCGCGUAGGUAGUUCAGUAAGAUGGGUGUGAACUCCCCGGGCUUAACCUGGGAACUGCUUUCAUAACUUCUGAGCUAGAGUACGGUAGAGGGUAGUGGAAUUUCCUGUGUAGCGGUGAAAUGCGUAGAUAUAGGAAGGACCACCAGUGGCGAAGGCGACUACCUGGACUGAUACUGACACUGAGGUGCGAAAGCGUGUGGAGCAAAC
RNAcentral lists this ribosomal RNA (421 nucleotides) under uncultured bacterium. RNAcentral's name for it is "partial 16S ribosomal RNA". It matches the Rfam family "Bacterial small subunit ribosomal RNA", at positions 360 to 773 of the family's 1533-position model. The record is from RNAcentral.